AUUGAACGCUGGCGGCAUGCCUUACACAUGCAAGUCGAACGGCAGCACGGGAGCAAUCCUGGUGGCGAGUGGCGAACGGUGAGUAAUAUAUCGGAACGUGCCCAGUCGUGGGGAUAACGUAGCGAAAGCUACGCUAAUACCGCAUACGAUCUAUGGAUGAAAGCGGGGGAUCGCAAGACCUCGCGCGAUUGGAGCGGCCGAUAUCAGAUUAGGUAGUUGGUGAGGUAAGGCUCACCAAGCCGACGAUCUGUAGCUGGUCUGAGAGGACGACCAGCCACACUGGGACUGAGACACGGCCCAGACUCCUACGGGAGGCAGCAGUGGGGGAAUUUUUGGACAAUGGGCGGCAAGCCUGAUCCAGCAAUGCCGCGUGCAGGAUGAAGGCCUUCGGGUUGGUU
This 398-nucleotide ribosomal RNA is filed under the name uncultured bacterium. RNAcentral's name for it is "bacterial SSU rRNA". It matches the Rfam family "Bacterial small subunit ribosomal RNA", at positions 30 to 428 of the family's 1533-position model. The record is from RNAcentral.